RNAcentral lists this ribosomal RNA (434 nucleotides) under Magnusiomyces spicifer. Its description in RNAcentral is "eukaryotic LSU rRNA". It matches the Rfam family "Eukaryotic large subunit ribosomal RNA", at positions 51 to 664 of the family's 3401-position model. Lineage: Eukaryota; Fungi; Ascomycota; Dipodascomycetes; Dipodascales; Dipodascaceae. The record is from RNAcentral.
CGGAGGAAAAGAAACCAACAGGGAUUGCCUUAGUAACGGCGAGUGAAGCGGCAAAAGCUCAAUUUGAAAUCGCUUCGGCGAGUUGUAAGUAAAGUGGUUAGACGCUUUUUAAUAAGUCCCUUGGAACAGGGCGCCAUAGAGGGUGAUAGCCCCGUAUUAAAUUGUCUAGUGUGCUACUUUAGAGCGAGUCGAGUUGUUUGGGAAUGCAGCUCAAAUAGGUGGUAAACUCCAUCUAAAGCUAAAUAUUGCUGGGAGACCGAUAGCGAACAAGUACAGUGAUGGAAAGAUGAAAAGCACUUUGAAAAGAGAGUGAAAUAGCGUGUGAAAUUGUUGGAGGGGAAGGCGAUGGUAGGAAUAAGAGGCUGCGGUUUGAAAUAAAUGUUUUUCGGGCCACGGUCUCCUGAGCCUGCUUUCGCACCCGUCUUGANNCACGG